Ornithodoros turicata is the source of this 409-nucleotide long non-coding RNA. RefSeq lists it as uncharacterized. Lineage: Eukaryota; Metazoa; Arthropoda; Arachnida; Ixodida; Argasidae. The transcript is spliced from 3 exons. The record is from RefSeq and is a predicted model, not a curated record.
UCCGACUGGGUGCCACCUUCGAAAGCAGUGAUUUGAUCUGUUCAUCUGGCUCAUACGAAUGUUACGGAAGCAAUGCGCAACUUGUUUCACAAGAAGCUGAAGAUGUCUCGUCCGGGAUGCUGUGCCAACCUUAUCUGCAGCAGGAGAUUGCAGGGGCAGGACUAGGCAGCAGAUAAAGGCAUUCUGGCACCACCGAAAAGCUUGCACUCCACUUCUCAACUAUCACCGUCUGGGUUUCAAGCUGAAGGCUUUCACCAGUGCCAACCAGACGCCCUUCAAAGUUCAUAUGUUUUUGUUGACGGAACAGUGACACCUGGUAAACCUGUCAUGCAGAUGCCCUACCCCUUGGUAUGCAUAGUACCGAAGAUUGCAAGAUUGAAGUAUGCAAGAUUGUACCGAAACAAUCCAC